Salarias fasciatus (jewelled blenny) is the source of this 103-nucleotide long non-coding RNA. RefSeq lists it as uncharacterized. NCBI's taxonomy places the organism in Eukaryota, Metazoa, Chordata, Actinopteri, Blenniiformes, Blenniidae. The record is from RefSeq and is a predicted model, not a curated record. The transcript is spliced from 3 exons.
ACAGCUCUCUUGGGGUCCGCUGAUCUGUACCUCGACCCGAUGCCCACAUGCGAACUGAGCGAUCUUCAGACACUGUGAUGAUUUCGUUGAAUUCCUCCCUCAG